This 441-nucleotide ribosomal RNA is filed under the name uncultured bacterium. Its description in RNAcentral is "partial 16S ribosomal RNA". It matches the Rfam family "Bacterial small subunit ribosomal RNA", at positions 338 to 795 of the family's 1533-position model. The record is from RNAcentral.
CCUACGGGCGGCAGCAGUGGGGAAUAUUGCACAAUGGGGGAAACCCUGAUGCAGCGACGCCGCGUGGGCGAGGAAGUACCUCGGUAUGUAAAGCCCUAUCAGCAGGGAAGAAACAGGACAGUACCUGACUAAGAAGCCCCGGCUAACUACGUGCCAGCAGCCGCGGUAAUACGUAGGGGGCAAGCGUUAUCCGGAUUCACUGGGCGUAAAGGGAGCGUAGACGGUUAAGUAAGUCUGGAGUGAAAGGCCGGGGCCCAACCCCGGGACUGCUCUGGAAACUAUUGAACUUGAGUGCAGGAGAGGUAAGCGGAAUUCCUAGUGUAGCGGUGAAAUGCGUAGAUAUUAGGAGGAACACCAGUGGCGAAGGCGGCUUACUGGACUGUAACUGACGUUGAGGCUCGAAAGCGUGGGGAGCAAACAGGAUUAGAUACCCCUGUAGUC